UCAUCAAUGAAAUCAUGCACGUGUCAAUUUGCCCCAAAUUAGACGGACUAGCUGGUCAAAAUAGUGACAUCUAUGUAAUGCUACAGAAACAAAGCAUGCACGUAUGGAGGGGAUAUUUAGCGGUCAUCUCAUUAAAAAUUUGUCGGUGAGUAAAAAGCCUUUUGCCAAGACCUCUGGGCUGGUGUGUCUAUUCAGAAUCUGAAAUGAAACAGAUGAGCUUGUUAGCACAGAUGAAAACACACACUAAUGAAGACCGGUCCAGUCCAAAGGAAUACAUUUUGUUCAAUUUCUCAGAAAACAAGAUAUGUUCAGUUUGCAUCCAAACUUUGGGAUGGAUCGAUGGAUGGAUGGAGAUUCUCAAUGUGCUCUUCAGACUUUUGAAACCUGAACCCAAACAGAAUUUCUCUUGGGACGUAUUGACAGUGUUUUAUUUAAGAGAGCAGCUGUAGCAAACAGGAAAUCCUUCCUGCCUGUUACUUAGCAACAAGUCCAAUUCUACUAUUCUCCACCUGCUGAAUAUUGACAGUGUAAAUGAGUGUUUGGGGAUGAGGAAGACGAGAUGCUCAGAAAGUAUGACACACUCAUUGUGUGCUAUAGUGAACCCCCCAAAAGCAUCCCUUCAGCGCAAUCGAAACCUAUUAAAAGAUUACAUUUUCC
Long non-coding RNA from Carassius auratus (goldfish), 657 nucleotides. RefSeq lists it as uncharacterized. NCBI's taxonomy places the organism in Eukaryota, Metazoa, Chordata, Actinopteri, Cypriniformes, Cyprinidae. The record is from RefSeq and is a predicted model, not a curated record. The transcript is spliced from 3 exons.